Small nuclear RNA from Jaculus jaculus (lesser Egyptian jerboa), 122 nucleotides. NCBI's taxonomy places the organism in Eukaryota, Metazoa, Chordata, Mammalia, Rodentia, Dipodidae. The record is from Ensembl.
GUAUUUCUAAAGAGGGGGAUGCACACUUGGACAACACAUAUACUAAAACUGGAACAAUACAGAGAUCAGCAUGGCCCCUGAGCAAGGAUGACAAGCAAAUUCAUGAACUGUUCCUUUUUUUU